GACGAACGCUGGCGGCGUGCUUAACACAUGCAAGUCGAACGGAAAGGCCCUGCUUUUGUGGGGUGCUCGAGUGGCGAACGGGUGAGUAACACGUGAGUAACCUGCCCUUGACUUUGGGAUAACUUCAGGAAACUGGGGCUAAUACCGGAUAUGAGCUCCUGCUGCAUGGUGGUGGUUGGAAAGUUUCGGCGGUUGGGGAUGGACUCGCGGCUUAUCAGCUUGUUGGUGGGGUAGUGGCUUACCAAGGCUUUGACGGGUAGCCGGCCUGAGCGGGUGAACGGCGACAUUGGGACUGAGAGACGGCCCAGAAUCCUACGGGAGGCAGCAGGGGGGAAUAUUGCACAAUGGGCGGAAGCCUGAUGCAGAAACGCCGCGUGCGGGAUGACGGCCUUCGGGUUGUAAACCGCUUUCGCCGGUGACGAAGAGUGAGUGACGGUAAAGGGUAAAGAAGCAACGGCUAACUACGUG
RNAcentral lists this ribosomal RNA (468 nucleotides) under uncultured bacterium. RNAcentral's name for it is "partial 16S ribosomal RNA". It matches the Rfam family "Bacterial small subunit ribosomal RNA", at positions 28 to 507 of the family's 1533-position model. The record is from RNAcentral.